Perognathus longimembris pacificus (Pacific pocket mouse) is the source of this 454-nucleotide long non-coding RNA. RefSeq lists it as uncharacterized. The record is from RefSeq and is a predicted model, not a curated record. The transcript is spliced from 4 exons. Lineage: Eukaryota; Metazoa; Chordata; Mammalia; Rodentia; Heteromyidae.
GGCUGACGCGGGGCCCGCGGCGAGGCGGCUGGGGGCGUCGGCUGCGCCCCUCGCGGUCUGCAGAAGACUUAACUAAAGCUUCCUACAAUGAUGUCCUAAGUGCUGAGCGAAUUAAAAAACUCCUUUACCUGCUUAAGUCAACUGAGGAUCCCGUACUCAUUGAAAGAGCCUUAGGUGCUCUGGGUCACAAUACAGCCUUUCUGCUAACCAAUUUCUGAGGACCCAGAAGCCACUGAAAAAAGAAUGUUUCCCCAAUUUUCAGAAGUUUUGGAUCACUUGUCCUGAGCAAGGAAGGGUUGUGCCAAGUUGUCAUGCCUGAGGGGAAGGAACCUGUCACAAACACCUUUGUUCCUUGCUGAAAAAAAAAUCUAGUAUCCAGAAAUUUUUAUAUGUUUCCAUGGGAACCAACGCCUGGUGAGCAUGCAAGUCUGAUGCCCGUGCCAGCCCCCACCUA